Molecule: ribosomal RNA, 433 nt
Filed under: uncultured bacterium
Lineage: Bacteria
Description: partial 16S ribosomal RNA
Rfam family: Bacterial small subunit ribosomal RNA
Source: RNAcentral
AACGAACGCUGGCGGCAUGCCUAACACAUGCAAGUCGAACGAGACCUUCGGGCCUAUUUGCGCACGGCGGCUGAACGCGGGGGAACCUGCCCUUAGGUACGGAAUAACUCCCCGAAAGGGAUGCUAAUACCGGAUAAUGUCUUCCGACAAAAGACUUAUCGCGUUUGGAUGGGCCCUGGUUGGAUUAGCUAGUUGGUAGGGUAAAAGCCUAUCAAGGCGAGGAUCCCUAGCUGGUAUGAGAGCAUGAUCAGCCACACUGGGACUGAGACACGGCCCAGACUCGUACGGGAGGGUGGAGUGGAGAAUAUUGGACAAUGGGCGAAAGCGUGAUCCAGCAAUGCCGCGUAAGUGAUGAAGGGGUUAGGGUUCUAAAGCUGUUUUAGCCGGGAUGAUAAUGACAGUACCGGGAGAAUAAGCACCGGCUAACUACGUG